Molecule: long non-coding RNA, 233 nt
Filed under: Elaeis guineensis (African oil palm)
Lineage: Eukaryota; Viridiplantae; Streptophyta; Magnoliopsida; Arecales; Arecaceae
Description: long non-coding RNA (EGUI_LNC004493)
Source: RNAcentral
ACCAUCAUCAAAAUUCUAAAAGUUAACAGAAGACCGAGCACAUAUGGAUAGAGCUGAUAUCCUCUGUAAUUGGGAUUUGAAUUGCAAAGAUCUAGUCUUUCAAUCAUAGCUAUCUAUGUGUCAUAUGUCCAUAAAGUGCAUUUAAUCACAAUCAUUACAUAAUAUAUGAUAGUCCUCGAUUGAUAAAUUAGAUUUCUAUGAGUCUGAACUUUGAAUGAAAGAGGAUCCUAUGC